Molecule: long non-coding RNA, 427 nt
Organism: Passer domesticus (house sparrow)
Lineage: Eukaryota; Metazoa; Chordata; Aves; Passeriformes; Passeridae
Exons: 3
Source: RefSeq, a predicted model, not a curated record
UGGCCGCUGUGUUGACACGCUCUGCACCUUGCUCCUGCCCUCGCCUUUCACUCUUCUUAUCCCCCCGAUACCCCCAUCAUUCCUGACAGCUCCUGAGUGCCUGGAUUUCAUCAUCCAGCCCUGCAGGAUGCUUCCCUUUCUUCUGGGGAAGGCUGUCCCAGACAGAGAGGAGGAGAUAGAGGUAGAUACCAAGAUUGAUACGGAGGAGAUGGAAAUAGACGGAGAAGACCCUGGAGAGGAAGAGAUGGAGGUGGAUAUGGAAGAGUCCGUUGACGACAUGGAUAUUGAUUAAAAAGCUGCAAAGGACAUCAUGGACAGAGAUGCCACCUUUUUGUACAUAUAUUUUACACUUUGGUGUUGUCAUUAGCAUAUAGGUUUUAGGGCUUUUUGUCUUCUGUAAAUAUGUUUCAUAUAUUUUUUGUUAGAU